Chelonia mydas (Green sea turtle) is the source of this 14423-nucleotide long non-coding RNA. RefSeq lists it as uncharacterized. Lineage: Eukaryota; Metazoa; Chordata; Testudines; Cheloniidae. The record is from RefSeq and is a predicted model, not a curated record. The transcript has 2 exons.
AGGAUUUGAAUUGUUGUGGAACUUGACAUUUACAUCUCCUAUGUUAUCCCUGGGAUUGGGCUGACAACGCCAUCAGUGGGGAUACGUGACCAAACAAGUACAGGUAAAAACUAGUGAUUUUGAAGGUUUGAGAUACACAAAAUCUUCACAAAAAACAACUUUAAGUUUCUGUAAAAAAAAUUUGGGUAAAAGGCCAGAUAAUGUGUUAGAUAAUGCAGAUUUGGGUAUUCAUGGAUCAAAAAGUCAGGAAUUACCUGUGUUUCAGUGCUGCUGCUCUACACCUCCAGUUGCUGAGAUUGAGAGUUUUGAACAUAUCUUGUUAGCUGAACCACUGUGUAAGGAAGGAAAAAUGCUCCUUGUAAGUGCAAAACAGCAUUUAUUUUAAAGGGCUUAUUCAUUUGGCUUUUAUAUCCUGCUGAAGCAGAGAGAAAGGAGCAAGAAUAUGUUUAUAUAAAGCACUGGUGUUGUAAUAGCAGUGCAAUAACUAUUUUUAUGUGUGUGUAUUGACUCCAUUAAUGAGUAUGUGUAGUGGGAAGUUUCUGUCUGAGGGAAUACCAGUUCUUGAAGUAUAAUAUAUCUACAUGUACCACAGUGUGACUGUCACUCAUUAGCUUCAGGAGAAGAGUUGUCAGUUGUAUCUUGAUGAAAGUCGUGAGUAACAGAUGCAUUAUUUUCAUCCCAUGAAAUGACAGUUUGUUUAUGGCUUUUGUGGAAGGUCAUAAUUUUGUAUAACUAACUUUGGUGAAGUAGUCUUUAAUGGGACUUUUUGUGUGCAAUUAUUGACUAUUUAGGAAUUCUUUCUUCUGUUUUAAAUCCAUCCCCCGCCCCCAAACUUUAACAUGUAUAAAUGUAACACUCUCCUAUACCUGGCUCCUCUAUAUGGCAGAUUUGAAAACUGUGGGAUUCAAGCCUUGCUUGUCUUAUAAGUGACUGAUUUCCACUGAAAGAUAGACACCCACAGGUAUGUCUUCUGUUAAGGAGAAUCCCAUGUGUUGGUGUGCCUACUAUUUUCUGCAAGAACAUGUAAGUUAUGAGACACCCAAUUGAAAUUUCAUCUUCUGGAGCAACAUAUAGGGGUCUCUUCAAACUGAGAGGAGAUAACAAGCUAGCAUCAUCCCAGCACACUGUCUAGCAGAUAGGUGAUGUCAAAGACGAGUGGGGAAGAUGAAGCCAAGCAGGGACACAGCAUCUUGGAGAAAAAUCUGCCUCAUCACAACUUUGAGUGGCAAAUUGCCAGGCCCUACUGUCCAGAUAUGACUUUUUGACCUGGGAUAGAGCAACCCCCUCUUUCUCAAAACUCCCACGUGACAACUGGGAGAAGCUCAGAAAUAUUCAGGGAAGGCCAGUUGCUGAUCAAGAUGGCCAUACGGGCUCCAGUGGAUGCCGCCGACACCACAGGCAGAUAUAUGGUCGCAACAAUGACGAUGAGCAGAGAAUCCUGGCUCAGAGCAUUGGGCAACCCUAGAGAGGUUCAGGUCACAAUCCAGGAUUUAUAUGGAACUAUUUAGUGAGUGAAUGGAUAGUGCUUUACACUCUUUCAGAGACUCAAACGCCAUCCUGCACUCCCUGGGUUUUACAUCCCAUCCCUGUACCAUAAGCUGUAUCACCCUCAACCCCCAUCAAGACAACAGGUGCCAACCUGUCAUUCUAGGCAACUUGAGUACAAUGCCUUCCUCCUACUUGGCAAUGCAUCGUGCUUCUACAGAAUUUCAGCAAAUUUGACAGGAUGGUUGGGAGCCACAUCACAUCUAGUCCAGAGAGCAUGAACUUCAGCAGCCACCUUACCCCAUGUGUGUGGCCUGCCGUAAGCUUGGACAGAUGGAUGUUAGAGAUCAUUGCCCAUGGCUACCCCAUCCAAUUCUACUUUUUAACCCGUAUCCACCUCCUUCUCCUAUCAGGGACCCUUUGCACAAGAGCCUGUAAAAAGCAGAGGUGACCUUGUAGCUUUGCCUUGGAAGCCAUGGAGGAGGUGCACCAGAAUUCAGGGGAAGAGGCCUGUACUCCUGGAGUUUCUUAAUCCUGAAGAAGAAAAAGGGGGUCUUUGUUCUGUCCUAGAGCUGAGAAGGCUUAGCAACUACUUACGCCAUCUUAGGUUCAAGGUGGUAAUGCUUGCCUCCCAUCUUUCCAUGUCUUCGAGCUCAAGAUUUGGUUUGUGGUUCUCAAUUUGCGCAGCACAGAUUUUGACAGACAAUGCAUCAACAGUGUAUUAUAUAAACAAGAUAGGAGUGCUCGGUCAUAACCCCUCUAUCAGGAGGUCAUCAGGCUAUGGACCUGGUGUCACUGGAUAACCCCUCUGGAUCUACACUUUCCUGGAACUGGUUACAGUCUGGUGGAUUUCUUAAGCAGGCAUGCAGUAACCAACUAUGAAUGGUCAGUGUAGACAUCUAUCAUAUUGCACCAGUGGGGAACUCCCACAAUAGAUCUGUUCAUCGCAGAGGGCAACGCCAAAUGCCCAAACUUCCACUCCAGGGAGGGUAUUAGCUUAGAUUCCUUUCCGAACACCUUCCUGCUACAGUGGUCUGCAGAUCUUCCUUCCUCUCCACCCCAGUGUUCCUGAUCCUGAGGGUGAUCUCAAAAAUCAGCCUGGACAAAGCCAUCUUGAUCCUAAUAGCUCCCUACUGGCAGAGGAAAUUUUGGGUGUCUGACUUCCUCUGCAUCACGCGGAUUGCUCAGAGUCACCCUGUGAUUGACCACAUACCCAAGUCUCUCUCCUCCUCCGUUGUGUCUGUCUUAUGACCCCGCAGCUUCUAGCAGAAAUUCUUAUUAGACCCUGAGUGCAUGACCUUGUACUUUAUAUUAUUGAAUUUCAUCCCAUUACUGUCACUCCAGCCUUCAAGGUAAAUUAGAUUUUCUUGUAUAAUGUUCCAAUCCUCCUCUGUAUUGACGCUGCCUUCCAGGUUUGUAUCAGUAAACUUCAUUAGCAUGCUCCUACUUUCUGUGCCAAGGUAAUUAAUAAAAAUAUUAAAUAAGAUUGGUCCCAAGAGUAACUCCACUAGUGACCUCCUUCCAGUCUGAGAGAUCACCUUUCAGCACAUUUCAUUGCCUUCUCUCCUUUAGCCAGUUCCUUAUCCACCUUAUAAUUCUUGUACUGAUCUCCCCCAAUUCAACUAAUAAUUUCCCAUGAGCUACCAGGUCAAAUGCUUUACUGAAGUCCAAGUAUAUUAGCACUACUACACUUCCCUUAUCUAGAAAAAGUUAUUUUCUUAAAGAAGGAAAUAAGGGUAGCCUGGCAUGAUCUGUCUUUGGUAAAUCCAUGUUGCAUUACAUCAUCUUUUCUGUUUACUUCCAUGAAUUUAAUUAUUCUUUCUAUCACAAUUUGUUUUAAGUUUGUGUAUACUACUGAGAUCAGAUUAACCAAUUUGUAAUUGCCUAGAUCUGUUUUUUUCCUUUCUUAAGUAUAGAUAUGACGUUCGCUAUCCUUCAGGCAUGUGGUGCCACCAUCAAGUAGAUAGAGGUAUUAAAAAUCCUUGCUACUGGACUAGCAAUCUCAUGUGCCAGAUAUCUGAAAACCACUAUCAAAUAUUGCACCCAGCCCUGCAGUUGUUGCACCUGGCAGCUUGGAAGUAGGCUGGUUGAGCUCUGUUGGCAGAGACUGUUUUUGACAGGUUCAGUAAAACCUCAUAGAAAGCCUGGAAAUCGUCUACCAGAAAGAUCUACCCCUCCAAAUGAAAAUGGUUCUACUAUGGGGAAUCCAGCAUAAAUUAAUUCCAGUUAAUACCAGAAAUCUACAUGCCAUACUUUAACUACAUGCCACACUUUAAAUAGGCUGGAUUGACUCUUAGUUCUCACAAAAUCCACCUUGCAGCAAUAUCAACAUGUCACACUUUGAUGCAGUCAUACUUGGUCUUCAGUCAUCCAACAAUAUCCAGAUUCUUCAAGGACCUCCUGCAUACAUACCCAGGUGUUAGAGACCUGACUCCUGCAUGAGAUCUUAACACCAUCCUCCUGAAACUCAUGGAACCUCCAUUCAAGCUAUCAUCAGAUAGCUGCAUCAUCACCUUGCCCUUAAGAUGUGCUUUCUGGGAGCUAUUAACUCAGCAUGGAGGGUUAGCAAGCUCUAAACUCUUACGUCUGGAUCUCCUUGUAUCUCAUUUCAUAGGGACAGAGUGGUUCUGAGACUGCACCCUAAACUCAUCCCUAAGGUAAUCUUAGAGUUUAACUUCAAUCAACCUGCCAGUCUUCUACCCUCUAUGGGAGAGAAGAAGCUACUUACUUUGGAUGUUUCCAGAGCCUUGCUUUAUUACCUUUCAGACAGUCUCCCUGCCUCUUUGUGGUCGUAUCAGGCUUGUUGAAAAGCCAAGCCAUCUUAUCUAACUGAAUCAUUUACUGUAUCUCCACCUGCUAUCAAUUAGUUGGUGAACCUCUAUUUCUACACAUCAAGGCAUACUCCACCAAGACACUGGCAGCAUCUUCUGUCUUUUUCAGAAAUGUGUCAAUAUCUGAGAUCUAUAAAGUAACAACAUAGAGCAACCCACUGACUGUAAUUAAACAGUCUAGAGUGGCCCCCUUACCAUCAGCUGCGACUCUGCAUUGGGAAGCUUUGCACAGAGCAGAGGACCCUUCCCAGAUGGCAAUGACUUGGCCGCAGGGCCAGGAGAAAACCUUUGUAAUCUUGUCCAUCUGCCACUCAUCUGUGGCUGUCAUCAAACGCCUUUUCUGCAUUAAAACAUCCUUCUCCUUCUCCCUUAAUCCUCCCUUUCCCUCACUGGCUCCAUCGUCCCUUCCUGAUUUACCCUCACCUCUCUAUAGUUCAGCUAACUCUGCCUGCUACUUUUUCUUCCCCUCUUGAUCCCAGUCUCCCCCCACUUCCCACCAGCUGAAAUCCAGGUCCCACAUCCUCCUCACUUCUGGUGACAUUUAUCCUAAUUCUGGCCCUCCCUUCAUGCCCACUCUCUCCACAUCCUACACACAUUUCUGUCAUCACCUCUGCCCCUUUUAUGUCACCAUUCCUAACUUCACACCCAUCCCUUUUUUUCCCCAUCCCUGCUUCCCUUUUCUUGCUGACUUUGGAACCACUUCAUCUUUAUUAAGAUCACAGUGUAUUCACAUCUCACUCCUUCCAGCUCACAGUUCUUACAGAGACCUGGAUCCCUUUAGCUGAAGCUGCCUCUGAAGCUGCCCUUUCUUCUGGGCCUCUCGUCUCAUGCUCUCCGCAUUGGAUCAGACUGGGGUGAGGGUGUUGGGCUGCUUCCAACAUUUCCUUCUUCCCAUUCUUUCUCCUUGUUCAAAUAGCUCUGCAUCUGACUGUGCUCUCUCUUCCCCUUCCAAGUUGCUGACGACUACCAUUCACCUAACUCUUCCCCAGCAGUCUUUCUCUCUCAUUUUGACUUUUGGCUCUCUCCACAAUCUCCCACAUAUCUCCUCAUAUUCAGCUUCUACGUUCAUGACCCAUCUGACACCUUAGCUGCAUAUUUCCUCGCCCUCAACUCUUCAUUUGAUCUGCACCUCUUGCCAGUUGUCCCACUCAUUAAAGGGCCAUUGACUACGCUGCUCUCCUUGCGUCACUGUCCUCCACUUUUAACUUUUUAACUCUCAUUACAAGAUCAGCCAUGACUCAUCCCCAUCAUCCACUUCAUCAGUUUCUUCUUGCCUUGCCUUCCUUUCCCCCCUACAACUCUUCUCCUUAUCCACUGUCACAGAUGCAGAAGUUUCUCAUCUGCUGUCCUCCUCUAACCCCUCCACUUGUCCCAGAGACUCCAUGUCACCUCCUGAUCUCCCUUGCACCCACUCUCAUCCUCUCACUUGCUAUUCACAUCCUCCACUCUCUUCUGGCUUUUUCCCCUCACAAUACAAGUAUGCUUUAGUCUGUUCCAUCUUUUUUAAAAAAACAACAACAAGCAAAACAAACAAAAAACCCCACCUGUGACCUUACGUGCCUCUCCAGCGAAUGCUUUAUCUCUAAGCUCAUUGAAUGCACUGUCUGUAAUUGCUUUCUGGAGUUCCUCUCCUCCAAGUCUAUCCUAGACCCUUUCCAGUCUGGCUUCUAUCCCUUGCACUCCACUGAAACUGCUCAUGCCAAAGUCUUCCUAUUCAACCUUAGAAACAGUACUCUAUCUGCAUUCUCGACCUUUCAAGAGCCUUCGACACCAACUAUGCUCAAUCUUGUCCAACCUUAUCCAUGACUGUCCUUUCUUAGUUCUGCUUCUUCCUCUGUAAUCACUUCUUCAGCAUGCCCCCUUUCAACUUUCUGAGGGGGUUCCAAAGGGCUUAGUCCUUGGUCUCCUUCUCUUCUGUGUCUCUGAGUAAUCUCAUCUGCAAACAGAAAUUCAACAACUAUUUCUACACUGUUGACUCAUUGAUCUACCUCUUUUCUCUAAACCGGUUUCCUUCUAUCUAAACUAAAAUCUUGGCCCCACUCUGACAUUUUUUCCUGGGUGUCUAGCUGUCAGCUCGUGUUCAAUGUGGCUAAAACACAGCACUUGACCUUUCCCUCUCUUCCUCUUUUGAUCAUUGUGGGCAACACCAUUGGGCCUGAAUGUCAUCUUCAACUCUGAUGUCUCUGUAGGUCGUCACAUCCAGACUAAGGCCAUGUCUAUAUUAGUGAUCUUACAGCUGUAAGAUCACUUGUAUAGCCUCUCUGUGCUGACUGGAGAGAGUUCUUCCAUCAACAUAAUACAACCACCUCAACAAGCGAUGGUAGCUAUGUCCACAGGAGAAGCUCUCUCACCAACACAGCCCUAUGCACACUGCUACUUAGGUUUUUUCACACCCCUGAGUGACAUAAGUUUUGCCGACAUAAGUGGUCAUGUAGACAUAGUUUAAGUCUUGCAGAUUCUUUGUGCAUAACCUCUCUAAGUUGUGACCAUUCCUAGCCAUCCACACAGUCAGAAUUCCUGUUUAGACUCUCAUCUCAAUUGCUGCAACAUCCUUUCUUCUGACCUUGACAAAUGCAAUCCUGCUUGUUCAUGUCCAUUCAGAAUGCUGCUGCAGAGAUUGUUCUCUGAGCCCAUUGCUUUAACGAUGUCACCUCUUUUGAGUUCCUCAACUACCCCACCUCUCUUUUAUUUGCUCAAAGAAAAGCUGCUUGUCUUCUUUCACAGCUCUUCAUGGCUUAACGCCAUCCUACCUCCCAUUCAGUAUCAAAAUGUUGACUCUCUCGCCUCCAGUCUGCCAAUGAUGUCAGUCUCCAUUUGUUAAAUUUUCAAACAGGCACUUUCAUGCUUUCUCCCAUGUUGCCCCUCAUGCUUGGGAGGAGUUCUCCAUAAACAUUUGCAAAGCUAUUUCAUUAUCCUCCUUCAGAUCCCUACUUAAAACUUUCCUUUGCCAUGAUGUUUACACAAAUCUUGAUGUUAGGCUGCUGGUGUUCUGAAACCGCUGCCUGUCAUGCUGAGCAGCAUUGGCUCAUUGUUUCCUUGUACUCCCCUAGUAUCUGUCUGUGUCUGUUGAUGUCUUAUAUGUAAAUUAUAGCAACUGCAGAAUUCAGGACUUAAUCUCCAGUUUGUGCAUAUAAUAACUAAACUGAAGGAUUUCUUUAUUUUAAGACAGUUUUUAAUAUUUGCCAAAUACUUAUUAAACAAAUUAUUUUCUCUAAAGAUGAAAAUGAUGGGAAUUCUUGUGUACUUGCAAUUUUAAGAUUUAUUGUUAAUUUAUUAAAUGUUCUAAAUUUCAUAUUUAAUGUUUUAUAGUUGUAAUACAAGAUUGUACACACAGCAUUACCUGUGACAGUGUUUUUAGAUCUAAAUUCCAUUUUAUUUAUCACUUAAAGUGUACAAAGAUUGGUUAUAUUUUUGUAAAAUGUUCUUUUCCUUAUGCAGCUAUGAAAUAACCUUUAAUAAUGGAAGCUUAGGAUAAACCACAAAGCUUUUUGCUUUUGCUGUCUUUAGAGACCAUAAAUAAGUACAAUGCAACCCAGUUAAAGUUGCUGUAGGAACCUUAACUUUUACAUUUUCUGACUUCAUAAAUUUAACAUUGCAACUUUAACAUUGUACUAAUACAGCUUUUUGGUAUGUAUUGAUAGUGUCACAGGUUUCCUGGCAUGUGAGGCUUUUUAAACCAGAUAGUCCUGGUCUGAAUAAUUUUUAAAAUGUAAGAACCCAGUUCUGCAAUUCCUUACUACUAAGUGUAGUACACAGUGCCCAUGGGACAACUCAAGGUAUUAAGUGCUUCCUCACCAGCAAAGAUGUGUAGGAUUGGGCCCUAAAUUUGAUAGAUAACAGAAGAAUGAGUGACUGCUAAUGAGGAGGAGACAACACAGUGUAACAGAAAAAGAAACAGCUAUUGCAAGUUACUUGUUACACCGGAGCAUUGUGUCUACACAACGGGUUUGCACCAGUACGUUUAUGCUGAUGUGAAAAACCCAAGUGUAGACAAGGACGAAGACUGCUUGCGCUUGUUGUUAAAAAUGAAACAUCAGCUUGUGAUAUGUAAAAAAAAAUUUUAACCUCUCAGUUGUGUCACUUGCCAAACAACAUUUGCUGAAUUUGCAAUGUAGCAAAUCUGGAAUCUAAUUUUUAAAAAACAUUUGACCUAAUAUGUUUCUGAUAUUUUUAAUUGUGCAGUGCAUAGACCACAGAAGUAGGCACUUGAUUUAUUUAUUUUAGAUCUAUAAAAUGACAAGAAUUAAUAAUGUAUGAAUUUGAAAAAUAAAACCACGUACUUACAAUCAGUAUUGUGUACAGGUACCACAUGGUUCGUGGUUCCAUUCAGGAGAUAAUUGUCAGCCCAUGGUGUGACAGCAUGAGUUUAACUUGCAAAAAACCACCACAAAUCUAACUUUAAAGAGCUCAUAAUGAAGGACCAGGAAAGAUCCAUUUUUGGAAAGGUUAUUGUCUUAACUGAAAAUAAGUCUUAAGGUUACCUGCUGUGAUCUUCAGUGCAUAAGAAAUAUGUAAAACAACUCCUGCCUUGUACUCACAAUUUUAUUUAUUAAUAUUAUUGCUUUAUUAAUAACAUUGCUUUGUUUGUAUUACAAUGAUGCCCAAAAUGUUCUAGCUACUUUACAAAUAUGUGAAGAGGGGUGUCUGUUCCUAAGCACUUGAUUUUAAGAGAAUAAAUAUGUGAAUCUAGUGCUCAUAGAAGGAGCCAGAUCAGCAUAUGAAUAAAGAACAGUUGGUUCAAACUAAACUUUUCUUUCUUUCUCGUGUUACAUCAGUUGGAAAGGGGGAAGUGGUUUGAAGAAUUAGCAUAGACACUGGAGUAGUGUGCCUAUUCAGAUCAAAGUUGUGCAAACUUUCAUGGCCCUUUUCAUGGAUCCAUUGCUAAGCCUAGACAAUUAGGUUACAUUGCUGGUAAAAAUAACUUCAAGUUUCAAAUACCUCAAGUUUGCUAGGAAAUGUGACCACUUCCUGCAGUUUCCAUUAUCAUUUAUGAUCACUGUAGCAUCCAGAGGUCUGGUUGUACUCAGUGCUGUGCAGGCCUAUGUUGAAAGACCACCUUUUCCCUGAAGAACUUUCAGGCAAGGUAUAACAGUGUUAGUGUACAGACAACUGGAAGAAAUGUUUGAACGAGGGAAACAGAAAUAGGCAUGUGUAGCUAGAUACUAUGGGGCAACUAUCCAGCCUAGGGAUGAUAAAUGAAUGUUGAACUGCAACUUCUUUGUGAGGCUAAAGGUGGAAGCCAUGCGAUGGCUUUAGUUUAUGCAUAUUAUAGCAGUCCACCUCUUGAGCAGGACAGAGCAGGUUGCUCUUGGCUCCCAGUCCACUUUCAUUGCUAGUUCAAGUUCUUUGGGCCUGAUCUUUAAAAUUACAAGUGGGUCAGGGCUCAAUGAACAUCAGUAACUACACUGCAAUCCAUCAGCUCUUCUCCCCCCGUGCCAGUUGUGUUUCUCUGGGACAAUGAUUCUAAUGAAGGAUGUAAGAGUCAUAGAUAAGCACACUCGUAUGAGUGAUUUGGCCAUGGAAUGAAGCAGUUAGACUAAUGAAAAGUCUACCCAUCUUUAGGGCAAUAUGAAAAAUCUUCAUAUUAGAUAAUAAGCUUUCUCACCAUAGCAGGAAUGAUAUAUAACAUUCUCUGAUGCAGAGAUUAUUAUUACUGAGGAAGGGAGAAGAGCAGAAGACUCCAUUAAUUUCACUAUGGACCUUGCGCUGCACAUUUAAUUUAUAUGUGCACUCAAAUGCUACCGUGAUGGCAGCCCUAGAAAAUCCUAAAAUAGAUAGCAACACUACAGGUUAAAAUCCUCAAACAAUGGAAUCUUUACAACUUUGCAAACUUCCACAUCCCCUUAAUUUGCUUUAACCACGAUGCGGAGAGUGACAAUGCAGGAUCAUUCAGUUCUUGGGCUCUAAGAUUGACAAGGAUAUUAAAGGUGAUGGUGACUUUUGAUGUGACUUUCAGAUUCAGACCACCAGCUAAUUUCAGAUUGACCACUAAAAAGUCAUUAGGUGAUAGAUACUGAUGUUGCUAGGAUUCAUACCAGUGACAUAGUUAAGAAUGUUUGUCGUUACUAAAAUCCUAGGUUCUGUAGUCUCCUACAUACAUUGAAAUAUUUCAUAUUUGUAACGUGUCAAAGGUAAUUAAAAAAUCUAUCUGGAAAUAUUUGUGCAACUGAUAUAUGGGUCAACACUUAACUAAUUUGUGAGCUCUCUGGGACAGGGACUGUCUUUUACAACAUGUAUGUACAGUGUCUAGCAAGCUGCAGCUCUGAUUCUUGAUUGGAGCCUGAGUUACUGCAAUACAGAUAAUAAAAAUAAAUUAUAAUUAAGUAGAUAUUAUAAAUGACUAUGCAUCAUUUAGGUUUAUUUUUUAAAGAAUCAGGCAAUAACAAACAUACCCUACCAAAUUUUAAGAACAAAACUAUAGGUUUAUCUUCCCAGUUCCUUACUGGGCCUUACUGUCCUCAUUUUUGCUGAUUUUAAAAGACUGUUGUGAGGUGAUUGAUUCUCACACAAAGUUCUGUUCACUGACUGAACCUGUUGUGCAUAUCUUUUCAACAGUAAUUCAGUCAAGGUAUGGAAUUUAGGAAAUUAAAGAGAAAAGAAACUAGGCAGAAAUAAAAACAAACUACCAUUGUACAAUUUUUUUAAACCACGUUGGAAAGGCUGGUAAAGUACCAAAAAGCUAACUGCAAUGCCUAUGGAUGUAAAACUGAAUUAAUUUGCUUUAUUAAUGUGUUUUAAGAGUUUACGUGUGGAUGUAAACUAAUAGGGACACUUUUACAAAUAGAAACAUAAAAAUAAGAAAGUGGUAUAAUGGAAUACCUGAGUCAGAUUUAGCAAUCAUUAUAGAAGGUGGCAUAGCUCAAUAAAGUGUGUGCCUAUAAAUUAAUCAGGAGCUUUUUUAUUUUUUGACCCCCCCCCCCCCACACACACACACACAACACGUAGUUUGAAAAGGAUUUUGCUGUGAAGUGAGUAAUAUUUUGUGUGGCAAAUUUAACAAGAUUUAAUUGUGAACAUCAGUAGUCAUCAUAUUUGAACUACAGGUAUCUUAUUUCAUUCUAGGGAAAAGGGAAGAACAAAUAAGCUAAGUAAAGAUUUAUUUUGCUUGCUUACUCAGAUUAGCCCCAUUAGGCAUAAAUGUAAAGAAAAUCUUGGUUUAAAAAAAAAGUCUACAAGUCUGAUGAUCCAACAUCUGUGUUUUGAGAGUGGGUAGUGAGAAAGAUCAGUCAGAAUGAACUAUUCUGCUCUUGUGUCUAGUCCUGUUUCAGCUAUUUCCUGCAGCAUCCCUCUAAACAAUAAAUAAAGAAUUACUAUUGCACUAGUACCUGACUCAAAAAGUUGGUUUUCCUGGGAUGUUGGGAAGCCCACUUAAUUAUAGAGCGCUAUGAGAAAAUAUUUGCAUACUGGUUUCUGAGUAUGGUCUGACUUGAUUGUAACUUUGCUUACUUAAAAUGGGAUUUUCAUAAAGCUGGGUGUAUUGUAAGUAGCAGAUGAACUAGAGCAAACACUGAAAGUGUAGAAUGGUUAAUAUUUUAAUUGUUAGCACGGUGUUUUUUUAUUCAGCAGAUACUAUUCCUGUAGAUUCUAGAUAUAAUUUGGGGUUGCAAUACCAUUGAGCAUAUGUAAUUAUAGUUGAGAAUGAGAUGCUGCAAGGUUUAAUGAACUGGAACUUUGGAUAUCAAAUCCGCUCUUUGUCAGCACCUAAAAGAACUUAAUUCUAUGACUGAAUAAAAUCCAGGUAGCAUUAAGAUGUUGACAAUAUUUUAAAUUAAUUUGGUUGAGGAAAUAAGGAUUCUGGCUAAAUUAGAUACGGGAAACAAUAGAUAAGGGUAACACAGUUGGUGGUUGGUAUAUUUGUCAAAACUAUGAACCAGUAAAUGACCAAGAAUAAGCAUAGUCUUACAUUGUUUUGCUUUGUUAUCGUAGGGAUACCUAGUAUUCUACAUGCACCUCACACAGUGUUAAUUCUGAUGUGGUUAUUACUGCAAUCAUAGCUUAGAUUUUGGCCUCUGACUUCUUUUGAAUGAUCUUCAGUUUAUAUGUGUGUUUUGCACAGGAAGGGGAAAUACGGGAGAGUUCAUUCUGCUCUAUUUCUUUCCCUUUCCCACCCAUAUCUAUAAUCCUCUGUUGACCUUUCAGUUUUGCUUUAAGCAGCAGUGUUUCCUAAAUCGUUUAGCUUUUGGUAUGCUUUGUUUUCCUUCAAAUUGUUGAAUUCUGGUUUGAAGAAAAAUAUCUUGGCAUUGAAACACUAUUCCAGACAUAUGUAAUUUUAUAUAUAUGCAUAUAUAUAAUGCAUCCAAUGAAGUGAGCUGUAGCUCAUGAAAGCUUAUGCUCAAAUAAAUUUGUUAGUCUCUAAGGUGCCACAAGUCCUCCUUUUCUUAUUCCAGACUAAAUGCUUAACAAAACUUUCAGUUCAGAGCAGAUUUACAGUAAAAGCUUUGUUAUCCGGCAUGUUCGGGGAAUAGGGGGUGCUGUUUAAUCAAAAAUUCCAAUUAACUAAGAGUUAUGCUUACCAACGGAAUACCAAUUUUCAAAGAAUUAGAAUACAAUAAAAUUAAUGAAGUAUAAAAUAGUAUACAGGUACUCACAAAUCCAGCAGUAGUACUGCACUGCAGAGUAGUAGGUUUCUUGAAGCACUUAAGUGUGUAUAGGUAAAGUUUUCUAUACAGUAGGUUAUCUUAUGACACUACAUAUCACUAUGGGCAGCGCAUGGUAUACACCCAGAUCACUAAAAAUACACUUAACACUAAAACUAUACUGAACAUAAUUUAAUCUUUGAUGAUUCAGAAGGCACUUCAGGAUCUUGCAGUGCCUUAGGGUCAUCAUUAUAAAUUAUCAUUGUUGCUGUAGAAGGUGUAGGAGAUUGGGCUGAAUCUGUAAUGACCCAAUGACACACCCUGGAAGUUGCUUUUUUGAAUAAAUCUCUGAUAUCAGUUUGCUUACUUGUCUUCUGUCUCUUUUGCAUAAAAGUCGAGUGCAGAAUGUGCAAUUGUAUAACCUCCUGGUCAGCAUACUAGUCCUGGUUACUAGAUUGAAGAUUUGUAUUGGGAGCGAUCAGAAAUGCCAGUUAAUAGAGUUUUCCAGAUGAUAAAGUGCCAGAUAACAGCUUUUACUGUAUAUUGCAGCUGUUUACGUGAGUCUUCAGAGAAUGAAGUAGACAAUAGUUGUCACCAUAGGAUCAUAUACAGUAAUUGGAUAUGGGAAAGAAUUAAAGUCCAUUCCUUUACAAGUGUAAAAUAUGGUCCCUCAACAGACUUGGAGGUUUUUUCUCCUAGUGAAAAGCUGGUAUGAUGAAAAAACAGGCUAUUCAUUAUGGUCAUUUCAAUUCAUUUUUUAUAACAUAGGGAUACUGAUAUUUUCAUUAUGGUAACCUACAAAAAAAACUGAUGACAUUCCUCUUCGGUCUUGCACUUCACUAAAUGUAAUCCUGUGCUAAAAUUUGACUUUCAGGUUUGGAGUUCAUUAAAUUGGGAAUUGAUGACAUUUUUUUGUAUUGUGCUGAGGCUGGCCAGUGCAGGUGGUAUCUGUCUUGUGGGACAUAUCCUUUCCCACCAUGGGAACAACAUAAGGAAUGUCAUCUUUAUUUGCUUUUGUGGCUGAAUGAGUACACAGGUAGCAGUUCUCAUAGCAGCCAGUGGGGAAAGUAAAUCAGUGGGGUGGUGAUGGCCUUUAUAACUGUUUUCUCUCUCUGGAUGAAACUGAUCACUGGGUUAGUUAUUAUUCCUAUGGCUGCAUUAAAACCUCAGGAAUAGUGACAGCCUGCACCUUGCCUUUAUUCAACAGCAUGCAGCAACUUGUAGCUAUUUUUCUAGCAGUUUUCACCCACUCAUCUCAAAGCACUUUAUAAAAAGAAGAUAGCCACCAUCAUCCCCAUUUUGUAGAUAUGGAAAUUGAGGCACACAGCACUUCCCUUCCUAAUGCCCUGUGAGAAGGUGAUAUCCUUCAGGUUUGCCUCAAUAUGUUUCUUACUAGUCAGUGAACUUUUUAAUCUCCCUUGACAUCUCCCCCCCCACAUCCUCCCCCGCCAUUAAUGAGGCCUUGAUGUAAUACCAUCUAGUUGCAGAAAAUGCUGCUCAAGUCCUCCUUCAACACACUUUUAAAAAAUAA